GGGGUUGUGGCUCAGUGGUAGAGCACUUGCCUAGCACAUGCAAGGCCCUGGGUUCAAUCCUCAGCACCA
RNAcentral lists this transfer RNA (69 nucleotides) under Marmota marmota marmota (Alpine marmot). It matches the Rfam family "tRNA". Rfam says of the family: Transfer RNA (tRNA) molecules are approximately 80 nucleotides in length. Their secondary structure includes four short double-helical elements and three loops (D, anti-codon, and T loops). Further hydrogen bonds mediate the characteristic L-shaped molecular structure. tRNAs have two regions of fundamental functional importance: the anti-codon, which is responsible for specific mRNA codon recognition, and the 3' end, to which the tRNAs corresponding amino acid is attached (by aminoacyl-tRNA synthetases). tRNAs cope with the degeneracy of the genetic code in two manners: having more than one tRNA (with a specific anti-codon) for a particular amino acid; and 'wobble' base-pairing, i.e. permitting non-standard base-pairing at the 3rd anti-codon position. The record is from Rfam by way of RNAcentral. Lineage: Eukaryota; Metazoa; Chordata; Mammalia; Rodentia; Sciuridae. RNAcentral also lists the same sequence under 2 other names.